RNAcentral lists this long non-coding RNA (1290 nucleotides) under Equus caballus (horse). RNAcentral describes it as "lncRNA (ENSECAG00000056188.1)". Lineage: Eukaryota; Metazoa; Chordata; Mammalia; Perissodactyla; Equidae. The record is from RNAcentral.
GGGGCCCCUUUUCUCCACAUGCUCGCCAGCUAGGAGUUUUAUGGUUUCAGGUCUUCCAUUCAAGUCUUUAAUCCAUUUUGAGUUGAUUUUGUGUAUAGUGUAGGAUAGGGGUCUAGUUGCAUUUGUCUGCAUGUGGCUAUCAAGUUUUCCCAACACCAUUUAUUGAAGACACUGUUCUUUCCCCAUCGUAUAUUUUUGGAAACUUUGUUAAAAAUUUAUUAACCAUAUAUGUAUGGAUUUAUUUCUAGGCUCUUCAUUCUGUUGCCUUGAUAUACGUGCCUGCUUUUAUGCCAAUAUCAUACUGUUUUCAUUACUAUAGCCUUGUAAUAUGGUUUGGUGAUGCCUCCAGCCUUGUUCUUCUUUCUCAAGAUUGCUUUGGCUAUUUGGGGUUUUUUCUGUGAUUCUAUACAAAUGCUAGGAUUUCUUUUUCUGUUUCUUGAAAAAUGCCUUUAGAAAUUUGAUAGCAUCUGGGAAAGUAUGUAUUAAGGCCCUUCCAGGGAGAAACUAGGUGAUGGGUAUUUUUGCCUGCUCCCUCUGCACUGAUGCUGGGUGUAUAGCCAUAGGGGGAGUACUCCUGUGCCUUAAAAUUUUCUUCUUUGUUUACUACAGUCCUGUGGGACUCAUGAAUGUAUGCCCCAUUCGCUAUUAGAGUCAGUCAUCAAGGGACCCACCCUCCAGGGGCAGUCACAAAAGUUGGGUUGCUAGCCAUGUGACAAGCUCCUUCCAGGGAGACACUGGUGACUUGGUUUUAUUGUUCAGGUAGGACAGAGGGCGAAUGAGGGAGAAAUAGGUAUUUUGGCCUGCUACCUCUGUGCUGACCCCCGGGGCAACAGCCCUGCUGAAUGUGCAAGCACCAUUUGGAACUGUUCCUUUGUUUGCUGUAGUUGUGGGUGUCAUAGAGGCAAACCCUGUUGGCUUUCAGAGCUAGGUGUUUGGGGGGCUCAUCACUUGGGUGGGAGUCUUAAAAGCUGGCUCACUAGAUAUGCAGCUGAAUCCCUUCACUCCUCAGAGAGAAGCUGGGAGUUGGAGGUUCCUUCCCUAUUGUAUGGCACUGGUGUGGGGGUGCGGUGUAUGGCGAGAGCACAUCAGCCUUUCCAACCCGUUUCAAUGUGGGUAUUUUCUCAGUCACCCAAUAUGUAAGAGUUGCUCGUCUAGUUUCCGUAUUUCUCUCAGAGGGCAUUUCUCCAUGUGCAUCUGUCCUUUUGGUGCCUUCAUGGGAGGAGGGAAGUUCAGAAGCCUCCUAUGCUGCCAUUUUGGCUGAGUCUCCCAUCUCUACUCAUUCUUCAACCU